RNAcentral lists this ribosomal RNA (423 nucleotides) under uncultured archaeon. Its description in RNAcentral is "partial 16S ribosomal RNA". It matches the Rfam family "Archaeal small subunit ribosomal RNA", at positions 323 to 746 of the family's 1478-position model. The record is from RNAcentral.
CUACGGGCGGCACCAGUUACGAAACCUUUACAAUGCACGAAAGUGUGAUAAGGGGACUCCAAGUGAUUAUACGCGAGUAUAAUCUUUUGCUAAGUGUAAAUAACUUAGAGAAUAAGGGCUGGGCAAGACCCGUGCCAGCCGCCGCGGUAAUACGGGCAGCCCUGGUGGUAUCCGCGAAUAUUGGGCUUAAAGCGUCCGUAGCUGGUUUGGUGUGUCUUUUGUGAAAGCCCAGGGCUUAACCCUGGGAAGUGCAGAAGAAACUGCCAGACUUGGAGGCGGGAGAGGUCAAGGGUACUUCUGGAGUAGUGGUGGAAUGCGAUAAUCCCAGAAGGACCAUCAGUAGCGAAGGCGCUUGACUAGAACGCACUCGACAGUGAGGGACGAAAGCCAGGGGAGCGACAGGGAUUAGAUACCCCAGUAGUC